Molecule: unclassified non-coding RNA, 298 nt
Filed under: Basidiomycota sp.
Lineage: Eukaryota; Fungi; Basidiomycota
Description: partial contains small subunit ribosomal RNA, internal transcribed spacer 1, and 5.8S ribosomal RNA
Rfam family: Eukaryotic small subunit ribosomal RNA (bases 1-47)
Source: RNAcentral
AAAGUCGUAACAAGGUUUCCGUAGGUGAACCUGCGGAAGGAUCAUUAUUGAUUUGAAAAUGGAUGUGCUGGCAUUCUAUUAGUUUCAAAGCUCAUGGAUGCAUGUGUCACUCCAAAUUUCAUCUUCACUACAACCCCUAUGUGCACUCAUCUGUCUUGAGGAGACAUGUUAACCCUACAGAGGGUAUCCAACUUGUCUUCUGAAGCUUUUUAUAAACCAUUUACAACCUGACAUAUCUAUGGGACAUUUGUCCAAUAAACAAAUAUGACAACUUUCAACAAUGGAUCUCUUGGCUCUC